RNAcentral lists this transfer RNA (73 nucleotides) under Eutypa lata. RNAcentral's name for it is "tRNA-Met". It matches the Rfam family "tRNA". From Rfam's summary of the family: Transfer RNA (tRNA) molecules are approximately 80 nucleotides in length. Their secondary structure includes four short double-helical elements and three loops (D, anti-codon, and T loops). Lineage: Eukaryota; Fungi; Ascomycota; Sordariomycetes; Xylariales; Diatrypaceae. The record is from RNAcentral. RNAcentral also lists the same sequence under 1 other name.
GAGGCUAUAACUUAAUUGGUAAAGUGAGCUGCUCAUGACAGCUUUGAUGAGUGUUCAAGUCACUUUAGCCUUA